UAACUGAUACAACUAAGCAGAUAUGAAUCUUGCUAAACCAUUCCGUUGACCGAGCAUUAAAGCAUGAUUUUCAGGUCUAAAUCUAGCAAAAUUGAGCUAGAUCACAUUUAGAAUAUAAAUGAACGAGCAUAAUCUAAUUUCAUCAACAGAAAAAUACAAUACCCAAUCUAG
Molecule: unclassified non-coding RNA, 171 nt
Filed under: Moritella viscosa
Lineage: Bacteria; Pseudomonadati; Pseudomonadota; Gammaproteobacteria; Alteromonadales; Moritellaceae
Description: putative sRNA
Source: RNAcentral